AUGGCUACAAGAGCAGAAGGAAAAAGGAAGAUUUAUCUUGCACUUGCUCUAUGAUCUCCUGAGAUGGCAUUAGUUAUGGUGCUGCCCUCAUUAGAGCAAGCCCAUGGAAACCAGUCCUGGCGGAACUUCAGGCUCCAAAAGGCAUUUCAAUGAAUGUAAAUUUUGAAUAUAAAGCAACAGACAGAAUUGGCCAAAUUACGUCCAAAAUGGGACUUGAGCUCCUGGAUUAUUCAGAGUCCUUGGAGACGCCUUAAUUCUGCAUUUCCUGAUGUGCGUGUGCAUGGAUAGAGCUCAGCUGCGAGGUGGCCGUACACACCGCUCUGUUCCUACCCCUGCAUCAUACUCUGUAAUUCCAUAAAUGAUGUUAACGUUAAUGAUUUAACAAGAAAUAUAAUUACGGUUUCUACAGCAACCGUGGCUUUAAAUAUCCUGAAUUAUGUACAUGUAUAAUCUCAAUCAUAAUGAAAUAGUAAUGCAGCUCAUUGCAUGUAAAUUACGUUCAAAGUUAGGACUUUUAAGAGAAAACUGCUUUUGAGCGAUCAGGAUGGAAGAAUAUGUAUGAGAAACCCCUCCCUAGCAUGAGAAUUUCUGCUGAUUCGUGCUUGGAAAGUUAAAAAUGAAAUAGAGGGUUGCUUUUUGCUUUGG
Molecule: long non-coding RNA, 645 nt
Organism: Oxyura jamaicensis (ruddy duck)
Lineage: Eukaryota; Metazoa; Chordata; Aves; Anseriformes; Anatidae
Exons: 2
Source: RefSeq, a predicted model, not a curated record